UACGAAGGGGGCUAGCGUUGUUCGGAAUCACUGGGCGUAAAGCGCACGUAGGCGGAUCUUUAAGUCAGGGGUGAAAUCCCGAGGCUCAACCUCGGAACUGCCUUUGAUACUGGGGAUCUCGAGUCCGGGAGAGGUGAGUGGAACUGCGAGUGUAGAGGUGAAAUUCGUAGAUAUUCGCAAGAACACCAGUGGCGAAGGCGGCUCACUGGCCCGGAACUGACGCUGAGGUGUGAAAGCGUGGGGAGCAAACAGG
This 253-nucleotide ribosomal RNA is filed under the name uncultured bacterium. RNAcentral describes it as "partial 16S ribosomal RNA". It matches the Rfam family "Bacterial small subunit ribosomal RNA", at positions 524 to 776 of the family's 1533-position model. The record is from RNAcentral.